AUUAUGGCUCAGGAUGAACGCUAGCUACAGGCUUAACACAUGCAAGUCGAGGGGCAGCAUUGGGAUAGCUUGCUAUCCAGAUGGCGACCGGCGCACGGGUGAGUAACGCGUAUCCAACCUUCCCUAUAGUAGAGAAUAGCCCGGCGAAAGUCGGAUUAAUGCUCUAUGUUGUGUUUUGAGGACAUCUGACGAACACCAAAGGUUCACCGCUAUAGGAUGGGGAUGCGUCUGAUUAGCUUGUUGGCGGGUAACGGCCCACCAAGGCGACGAUCAGUAGGGGUUCUGAGAGGAAGGUCCCCCACAUUGGUACUGAGACACGGACCAAACUCCUACGGGAGGCAGCAGUGAGGAAUAUUGGUCAAUGGGCGAGAGCCUGAACCAGCCAAGUAGCGUGCAAGGACGACUGCCCUAUGGGUUGUAAACUGCUUUUAUCAGGGAAUAAAGUGCGGCACGUGUGCCGUUUUGUAUGUACCUGAUGAAUAAGGACCGGCUAAUUCCGUGCCAGCAGCCGC
RNAcentral lists this ribosomal RNA (512 nucleotides) under uncultured bacterium. Its description in RNAcentral is "bacterial SSU rRNA". It matches the Rfam family "Bacterial small subunit ribosomal RNA", at positions 16 to 518 of the family's 1533-position model. The record is from RNAcentral.